AGUAAAAAGUCGUAACAAGGUCUCCGUUGGUGAACCAGCGGAGGGAUCAUUACUGAGUUUACGCUCUACAACCCUUUGUGAACAUACCUACAACUGUUGCUUCGGCGGGUAGGGUCUCCGUGACCCUCCCGGCCUCCCGCCCCCGGGCGGGUCGGCGCCCGCCGGAGGAUAACCAAACUCUGAUUUAACGACGUUUCUUCUGAGUGGUACAAGCAAAUAAUCAAAACUUUUAACAACGGAUCUCUUGGUUCUGGCAUCGAUGAAGAACGCAGCGAAAUGCGAUAAGUAAUGUGAAUUGCAGAAUUCAGUGAAUCAUCGAAUCUUUGAACGCACAUUGCGCCCGCCAGCAUUCUGGCGGGCAUGCCUGUUCGAGCGUCAUUUCAACCCUCAAGCUCUGCUUGGUGUUGGGGCCCUACAGCUGAUGUAGGCCCUCAAAGGUAGUGGCGGACCCUCCCGGAGCCUCCUUUGCGUAGUAACUUUACGUCUCGCACUGGGAUCCGGAGGGACUCUUGCCGUAAAACCCCCAAUUUCCACAGGUGACCUCGGAUC
This 549-nucleotide ribosomal RNA is filed under the name Colletotrichum sp. AX165. RNAcentral's name for it is "eukaryotic LSU rRNA". The stretch from base 225 to 378 matches the Rfam family "5.8S ribosomal RNA". Lineage: Eukaryota; Fungi; Ascomycota; Sordariomycetes; Glomerellales; Glomerellaceae. The record is from RNAcentral.